RNAcentral lists this ribosomal RNA (702 nucleotides) under uncultured bacterium. RNAcentral describes it as "bacterial SSU rRNA". It matches the Rfam family "Bacterial small subunit ribosomal RNA", at positions 8 to 756 of the family's 1533-position model. The record is from RNAcentral.
AGAGUUUGAUCCUGGCUCAGAACGAACGCUGGCGGCAUGCCUAACACAUGCAAGUCGAACGAACCCUUCGGGGUUAGUGGCGCACGGGUGCGUAACGCGUGGGAAUCUGCCCUUGGGUUCGGAAUAACAGUUAGAAAUGACUGCUAAUACCGGAUGAAGUCUUCGGACCAAAGAUUUAUCGCCCAGGGAUGAGCCCGCGUAGGAUUAGGUAGUUGGUGGGGUAAAGGCCUACCAAGCCGACGAUCCUUAGCUGGUCUGAGAGGAUGAUCAGCCACACUGGGACUGAGACACGGCCCAGACUCCUACGGGAGGCAGCAGUGGGGAAUAUUGGACAAUGGGGGAAACCCUGAUCCAGCAAUGCCGCGUGAGUGAUGAAGGCCUUCGGGUCGUAAAGCUCUUUUACCAGGGAUGAUAAUGACAGUACCUGGAGAAUAAGCUCCGGCUAACUCCGUGCCAGCAGCCGCGGUAAUACGGAGGGAGCUAGCGUUGUUCGGAAUUACUGGGCGUAAAGCGCACGUAGGCGGUUACUCAAGUCAGAGGUGAAAGCCCGGGGCUCAACCCCGGAACUGCCUUUGAAACUAGGUGACUUGAAUCUUGGAGAGGCGAGUGGAAUUCCGAGUGUAGAGGUGAAAUUCGUAGAUAUUCGGAAGAACACCAGUGGCGAAGGCGACUCGCUGGACAAGUAUUGACGCUGAGGUGCGA